ACUGAGGCGCAGCUACCAUGCAGUCGAGCGGUAGCACAGAGAAGCUUGCUUCUUGGGUGACGAGCGGCGGACGGGUGAGUAAUGCAUAGGAAUCUGCCCGAUAGUGGGGGAUAACCUGGGGAAACCCAGGCUAAUACCGCAUACGUCCUACGGGAGAAAGGGGGCUCCGGCUCCCGCUAUGGGAUGAGCCUAUGUCGGAUUAGCUAGUUGGUGAGGUAACGGCUCACCAAGGCAACGAUCCGUAGCUGGUCUGAGAGGAUGAUCAGCCACAUCGGGACUGAGACACGGCCCGAACUCCUACGGGAGGCAGCAGUGGGGAAUAUUGGACAAUGGGCGCAAGCCUGAUCCAGCCAUGCCGCGUGUGUGAAGAAGGCCCUCGGGUUGUAAAGCACUUUCAGCGAGGAAGAACGCCUAGCGGUUAAUACCCGCUAGGAAAGACAUCACUCGCAGAAGAAGCACCGGCUAACUCCGUGCCAGCAGCCGCGGUAAUACGGAGGGUGCAAGCGUUAAUCGGAAUUACUGGGCGUAAAGCGCGCGUAGGUGGCUUGAUAAGCCGGUUGUGAAAGCCCCGGGCUCAACCUGGGAACGGCAUCCGGAACUGUCAAGCUAGAGUGCAGGAGAGGAAGGUAGAAUUCCCGGUGUAGCGGUGAAAUGCGUAGAGAUCGGGAGGAAUACCAGUGGCGAAGGCGGCCUUCUGGACUGACACUGACACUGAGGUGCGAAAGCGUGGGUAGCAAACAGGAUUAGAUACCCUGGUAGUCCACGCCGUAAACGAUGUCGACCAGCCGUUGGGUGCCUAGCGCACUUUGUGGCGAAGUUAACGCGAUAAGUCGACCGCCUGGGGAGUACGGCCGCAAGGUUAAAACUCAAAUGAAUUGACGGGGGCCCGCACAAGCGGUGGAGCAUGUGGUUUAAUUCGAUGCAACGCGAAGAACCUUACCUACUCUUGACAUCCUGCGAAUUCGGUAGAGAUACCUUUAGUGCCUUCGGGAACGCAGAGACAGGUGCUGCAUGGCUGUCGUCAGCUCGUGUUGUGAAAUGUUGGGGUUAAGUCCCGUAACGAGCGCAACCCUUGUCUUAUUUGCAGCACGUAAUGGUGGGACUCUACGAGACUGCGUGACAGCGGAGGAAAGGUGGGGACGACGUCAGGUCAUCAUGGGCCUUACGGAGUAG
This 1173-nucleotide ribosomal RNA is filed under the name Vreelandella lionensis. RNAcentral describes it as "bacterial SSU rRNA". It matches the Rfam family "Bacterial small subunit ribosomal RNA", at positions 35 to 1211 of the family's 1533-position model. Lineage: Bacteria; Pseudomonadati; Pseudomonadota; Gammaproteobacteria; Oceanospirillales; Halomonadaceae. The record is from RNAcentral.